RNAcentral lists this long non-coding RNA (1081 nucleotides) under Fukomys damarensis (Damara mole-rat). RNAcentral's name for it is "lncRNA (ENSFDAG00000023124.1)". Lineage: Eukaryota; Metazoa; Chordata; Mammalia; Rodentia; Bathyergidae. The record is from RNAcentral.
AUGCCAGGGAUGGUGGAGGUCAGCGUGGGUCCUGGGCACAGCACGUGGCAGGAGAGCCCUCCGCCUGCCCGCCAGGACCUGGGCAGCUCUGGGUCGCAGGCUCCCCGGGAGGGGACGCUCUUGGUGGAGGGCCUGGGUUUGUGCGCCACGAACAGCUCCCGCGCUGGGCUGCAGGCUGGAGAUCUCCCGGUCCUGCUGAGAGCGCAGGUGGGAGCUGGCCCUGCAGGCGGGGGCUGCAGCAGAGGGGACCCUGGGGCUGGAAGGGCCGUCGCAGGAAGGUCAUCAGAGCCCAGGGGCGGAGGCCCAGGGGCCACACCGCAGGCUCAGCAUCUUCCAAUGGGAAACCAAAGCCCGGAACAACCGAGAUGGUGCCCGAAAGGUGCGCCCCUCUCUGUCCAAAGCUGUGACUCCGACGAUGCCAAGGGAAACUGGCAGGAGGACGGCCCAACCUCCCAGCAGGGGCCUGGGCGAACCCAGCCGCCCCACGCAGGGCUUCUGCAGGGCGCACGGGAACCGAUCUCCCCGCGUGGACCCGGCCCUUUCCUCCCCGCCAGCGUCCCACAAUGGGCAGGAGGUUCGACCACCGCGGCGCGGCUGUUCCACCAGGAAAUCGGUUCACGCAGGGUGCAGCCUGCCCGAGAAUGAAGUCAUCGGCUGCUUUUCCCCCUUUUCCCCUACAACACGAGUCCCCGGGCCUCUGCAGUGCCCCGGCCGCACUGCUGGGGGGCGGGCCAGGAGCAGGACCCUGGGUGCCGGGCGCCCACGCGAGACGUCCCGGGACAGACAGCCCAAGGUGAGCUCCCGGGAGGCCGCCCGCGGCGCGCAGGAACAGUAAAUAACGCUGCCUGUCAACGCAGUAAAACGGAAGCGGUGACAAUGUUUAAUAAGCGUCCCCAUGCGUCUCCCCCUCCUCCCUCCCUCGCAGGACGUGGGCACUGGGAGGACCCGCAGGGAUGCGGGACGCCGGGCGUGUUGCGUGGUGGCCGGGUGCAGCAGGAGGAGGAGGAGGAGGAGGAGGAGGAGGACGCGGGGGAGAGGGGGAAGCAGCAAGUGAGAGACGAGGGGGCGCGAGCGGCCGGGG